Molecule: ribosomal RNA, 497 nt
Filed under: uncultured bacterium
Lineage: Bacteria
Description: partial 16S ribosomal RNA
Rfam family: Bacterial small subunit ribosomal RNA
Source: RNAcentral
GACGAACGCUGGCGGCGUGCCUAAUACAUGCCAGUCGAGCGAACAGAUGAGGAGCUUGCUCCUCUGACGUUAGCGGCGGACGGGUGAGUAACACGUGGAUAACCUACCUAUAAGACUGGGAUAACUUCGGGAAACCGGAGCUAAUACCGGAUAAUAUAUUGAACCGCAUGGUUCAAUAGUGAAAGACGGUUUUGCUGUCACUUAUAGAUGGAUCCGCGCCGCAUUAGCUAGUUGGUAAGGUAACGGCUUACCAAGGCAACGAUGCGUAGCCGACCUGAGAGGGUGAUCGGCCACACUGGAACUGAGACACGGUCCAGACUCCUACGGGAGGCAGCAGUAGGGAAUCUUCCGCAAUGGGCGAAAGCCUGACGGAGCAACGCCGCGUGAGUGAUGAAGGUCUUCGGAUCGUAAAACUCUGUUAUUAGGGAAGAACAAAUGUGUAAGUAACUAUGCACGUCUUGACGGUACCUAAUCAGAAAGCCACGGCUAACUACGUG